AGUUAAAUAAAAGACAAGGUGUGU
RNAcentral lists this non-coding RNA (24 nucleotides) under Arabidopsis thaliana (thale cress). The record is from RNAcentral. Lineage: Eukaryota; Viridiplantae; Streptophyta; Magnoliopsida; Brassicales; Brassicaceae.